UACGUAGGGACCAAGCGUUGUUCGGAUUUACUGGGCGUAAAGGGCGCGUAGGCGGCGUGGUAAGUCACUUGUGAAAUCUCUGAGCUUAACUCAGAACGGUCAAGUGAUACUGCUGUGCUAGAGUGCGGAAGGGGCAAUCGGAAUUCUUGGUGUAGCGGUGAAAUGCGUAGAUAAUCAAGAGGAACACCUGAGGUGAAGACGGGUUGCUGGGCCGACACUGACGCUGAUGCGCGAAAGCCAGGGGAGCAAACGGG
RNAcentral lists this ribosomal RNA (254 nucleotides) under uncultured bacterium. Its description in RNAcentral is "partial 16S ribosomal RNA". It matches the Rfam family "Bacterial small subunit ribosomal RNA", at positions 524 to 776 of the family's 1533-position model. The record is from RNAcentral.